This 711-nucleotide ribosomal RNA is filed under the name Pediococcus acidilactici. Its description in RNAcentral is "bacterial SSU rRNA". It matches the Rfam family "Bacterial small subunit ribosomal RNA", at positions 686 to 1397 of the family's 1533-position model. The record is from RNAcentral. Lineage: Bacteria; Bacillati; Bacillota; Bacilli; Lactobacillales; Lactobacillaceae.
AUGCGUAGAUAUAUGGAAGAACACCAGUGGCGAAGGCGGCUGUCUGGUCUGUAACUGACGCUGAGGCUCGAAAGCAUGGGUAGCGAACAGGAUUAGAUACCCUGGUAGUCCAUGCCGUAAACGAUGAUUACUAAGUGUUGGAGGGUUUCCGCCCUUCAGUGCUGCAGCUAACGCAUUAAGUAAUCCGCCUGGGGAGUACGACCGCAAGGUUGAAACUCAAAAGAAUUGACGGGGGCCCGCACAAGCGGUGGAGCAUGUGGUUUAAUUCGAAGCUACGCGAAGAACCUUACCAGGUCUUGACAUCUUCUGCCAACCUAAGAGAUUAGGCGUUCCCUUCGGGGACAGAAUGACAGGUGGUGCAUGGUUGUCGUCAGCUCGUGUCGUGAGAUGUUGGGUUAAGUCCCGCAACGAGCGCAACCCUUAUUACUAGUUGCCAGCAUUCAGUUGGGCACUCUAGUGAGACUGCCGGUGACAAACCGGAGGAAGGUGGGGAMGAMGUCAAAUCAUCAUGCCCCUUAUGACCUGGGCUACACACGUGCUACAAUGGAUGGUACAACGAGUCGCGAAACCGCGAGGUUUAGCUAAUCUCUUAAAACCAUUCUCAGUUCGGACUGUAGGCUGCAACUCGCCUACACGAAGUCGGAAUCGCUAGUAAUCGCGGAUCAGCAUGCCGCGGUGAAUACGUUCCCGGGCCUUGUACACACCGCCCGU